UUCUCCCUCCAUCAAUGUGGUUUUCACUUGCUAAAUAGUCAAUGUUGCUUUUGUUGCUCCCCUUCUUUCUCUUUCUUCCCCCCCCCCCCUCACUCAAAGUACAAAACAUGACCAUCACCAAGAAAAAGUGCUAGAACAUGCAUGAUUCCAUAGAUAUUUUAUUACUUCAUAUAUAUAUAUAUAUAUAUAUAUAUAUAUAUAUAUAUAUAUAUAAAUGUGAAAUAUACUAGACUAUGCUUUAUUACAUCAACAUAGCUGUACUUGUAUUUAUUGUCAUGCAUUAUCACGUAGCAAAUUGGUUAGGAUAUUGGUGAGGCUCAAUGGAGCUCUCCCCACUCCAUGCCUGAAAGGAGUUCGAUGGUAGACCAUGGCUGCUAGUUCAUGAAUACCCUUGGGUGCGCAGAAUUAGCAACGGUGCAGGCGAAGUUGCGCAGGCUAAGGGUCUGCAUGACCUAGGAGACGUGGUUACCCUGACCCUUUUUGUAUUGGAGUGAAGGGAGCUCGAUGGUCUUUCACCCUUUCUUGCUUUCUUUCUUUUCAUUUUAUUGCUGUCAAUCAGUACUCUUUAAUUUCCCUUCUUGAAAAGAAAAGGUAAGUAUUUUUGUUCAUUUUUCACACAAUGAACAAAGCUGAAAACCAUGCAAAAUAAUAUGCGAUGCCUUCUCUCAACCUCGAAUAAUUAAAAAAGAUACUGGAGAAUCGAGUUCUUCCUGCUUAGUUACAGCGCCCUGUGCUUACAAUGUCAUUAAAAUGCAUCUCCUCUCCUUCGUAAAUAUUUGUGCCAAAAUCAUCUUAGUAUAUCCUUCCUAGCCGAGGAUCCAUGCCCAACAUGAAGUUAUUUGAUGAAAUAAGAGAGUACUUCCUUAGUUUUCUUGCAUUGAAUUAAUUAAUAGUAUAACUUGCAACCAGCCUGCAGUUGCUAAUUAUUUGAGAAUGCCUUGCCACCUCCUGGUGCCGAUUGUUUUAGCUGCCACCUGGCCACUGGAAGAAAGCACAACUUCGAAUGUUCCCCUUUCAAUUCCCAUAAAUAUUAAAUAAUGGCAUUAAAAAACGCAUGAUCUUAUGAUAAUUAAGUCGAUCGUUGUUUUUUUUUUGUUUUUUUCAGAAUUUGCGUAACAUCAAAUUAAACUAUUCCUCUUAUCAGUUAUCAUUAUAUGUUUUAACUUGAUCAGUUUUCAUGAUAUAGGAACAACGGUCACAGCCUGGGGCCUCCACGCACGUGAAGGAUCGAUCGGCGGUUGAUUGGAGUUUAGAAGUUGUGUCCAUAUUAAAGAAUCCGCAGGUUGAUUGCGCCUCGCAAGGCAACCAGCGGAGAGGCUGCCCUCGCUACUAGCCAAGGGAAGAAUAAUGGAAUAUCCUCUUCGAAGUUUUAUCAGCUUCAUUAGUAAUUCUACUCGCGCCAGAACAUUGUAACGAUUCCUCCGUCGGGGAACAUUGUAACGAUUCCUCCGUCGGGGCCGUCCCCUUUUUUAUUCUCAAUAAAUUAAUUUUGGUUACUGCUUAAUUAAUUAGUGCCUUUUGGCAUAAGUCUUGUUGGUGUCUAAAACUGGUAGAUCAAUAUGUGUAAGGAACAUAAAUUAAAAAGGUUGUAAUUUCACACACCUAUAACCUGUUUGCCCC
This 1620-nucleotide long non-coding RNA is filed under the name Populus trichocarpa (black cottonwood). Its description in RNAcentral is "long non-coding RNA (PTRI_LNC003290)". The stretch from base 312 to 517 matches the Rfam family "MIR159 microRNA precursor family". Lineage: Eukaryota; Viridiplantae; Streptophyta; Magnoliopsida; Malpighiales; Salicaceae. The record is from RNAcentral.